GACGAACGCUGGCGGCGUGCCUAAUACAUGCAAGUUGAGCGAUGAAGAUUGGUGCUUGCACCAAUUUGAAGAGCAGCGAACGGGUGAGUAACGCGUGGGGAAUCUGCCUUUGAGCGGGGGACAACAUUUGGAAACGAAUGCUAAUACCGCAUAAUAACUUUAAACAUAAGUUUUAAGUUUGAAAGAUGCAAUUGCAUCACUCAAAGAUGAUCCCGCGUUGUAUUAGCUAGUUGGUGAGGUAAAGGCUCACCGAGGCGAUGAUACAUAGCCGACCUGAGAGGGUGAUCGGCCACAUUGGGACUGAGACACGGCCCAAACUCCUACGGGAGGCAGCAGUAGGGAAUCUUCGGCAAUGGACGAAAGUCUGACCGAGCAACGCCGCGUGAGUGAAGAAGGUUUUCGGAUCGUAAAACUCUGUUGGUAGAGAAGAACGUUGGUGAGAGUGGAAAGCUCAUCAAGUGACGGUAACUACCCAGAAAGGGACGGCUAACUACGUG
This 497-nucleotide ribosomal RNA is filed under the name uncultured bacterium. RNAcentral describes it as "partial 16S ribosomal RNA". It matches the Rfam family "Bacterial small subunit ribosomal RNA", at positions 28 to 507 of the family's 1533-position model. The record is from RNAcentral.